UGGAAAGAUUUAAAACAUACGUGAAACCGUUCGGGGGUAAACGGACAGAGCCCGUGAAUCUGGGCGGCGGAAUUCAGGAUGGCUGGCUCGUCCAGCCGUUUGAUAUUUCCGUCGCCGUGUCAGACGUCGCGACCUGUUCGUUGCCGGUCCUUGUUCGGAGGAAUCGCGAUCGAGUUCGUUGCGGGUGCGUUUCGGCGUGUCCCGCGGUGAAGACGCGACUCUCUGGCUGGCGACGGACAGUAAGCAAUGGUGGCCGGCGCGGUGUCUCGCACUCCGCGUCGGUGCCGGUCAGCGACGAUUUCUUCGGGCCUCUUUCCGACCCGUCUUGAAACACGGACCAAGGAGUCUAACAUGCGCGCGAGUCGCGGGGUUUCGAGCGUGCCACGGUGCGCUCGUUACUUCCGAAACCCGUACGUUGAAGGCGUAAUGAAAGUGAACAGGGAAGAUGGCGUUCCGAGUCCACGUACCGUGAUCGAGUAUCGCGGCCGGACGUCCGCACUCCCGGGGCGUCUCAAUGGUUCGACGCGGAUGCGGACGAUCGUCUUUCGGGGCGGUCGUCGGUCUGCGUCGGUCCGAGGCGCACCUAUAGCGUGCACGUUGGUACCCGAAAGAUGGUGAACUAUGCCUGGCCAGGAUGAAGUCAGGGGAAACCCUGAUGGAGGUCCGCAGCGAUUCUGACGUGCAAAUCGAUCGUCUGAGCUGGGUAUAGGGGCGAAAGACUAAUCGAACCAUCUAUUGUUUUUCCUCCCCCCCAAAAAAAA
This 761-nucleotide ribosomal RNA is filed under the name Superturmaspis schizosoma. RNAcentral describes it as "partial large subunit ribosomal RNA". It matches the Rfam family "Eukaryotic large subunit ribosomal RNA", at positions 377 to 970 of the family's 3401-position model. Lineage: Eukaryota; Metazoa; Arthropoda; Insecta; Hemiptera; Diaspididae. The record is from RNAcentral.